Molecule: unclassified non-coding RNA, 578 nt
Filed under: Hevea brasiliensis (rubber tree)
Lineage: Eukaryota; Viridiplantae; Streptophyta; Magnoliopsida; Malpighiales; Euphorbiaceae
Source: RNAcentral
GAAUGCAAAGGAGUUUAGAAAGGAAAAUGCUAACAUGCAAAUGGGGGGAAAGCAUGCCCAGUUAGAGACGAGGAAGCAUGAUGAAGAGAUGGACUUAGUCAAGGAUGUCACAAGCAUGAAGUCAAAAAUAACUGAACUUGAACGAAAAUUAAGUGAGGCUAAAGACACCAUCUCAAAGCUAACAGAGGAGAGGAAAUCUACCGCUCAAGAAAGAGAGAGCUUACAAAGAGAACUGGUCAUGUUGACAAGUAAGAAAGGCGGAAGAAAAGUGCGGGUUGGAUUUCCGCUCCUCUAUGUGGUUACUGUAGCCUUUAUUAGUAUGGUGUUCGGCUACCUUUUGCACUACUGAUCGAAGCAUUUAAUACACUGCUGCGACUGAGAGAGGUUAUUAUGUCUUAUCUUGAUAGACAAAUUUUCCUUCACAAAGCCCUUCAUCUGUUCUAGCUAACGCUGAGGAUCAGAUAUGUUGUUGUAUUGACUAGUAGAGUAUAUCAAGUGUUGUAAAUGCCGCUUUUAGAUGGAAUAAAGUGUAAUAAUCUCCGUCUACUACCUAAGCCUGGCAGGUAGAGGAGUUGGAG